CCUACGGGGGGCUGCAGUGAGGAAUAUUGGUCAAUGGUCGGGAGACUGAACCAGCCAAGCCGCGUGAGGGAGGAAGGUACAGAGUAUCGUAAACCUCUUUUGUCAGGGAACAAAGACUGGGACGCGUCCCCGGAUGAGUGUACCUGAAGAAAAAGCAUCGGCUAACUCCGUGCCAGCAGCCGCGGUAAUACGGAGGAUGCGAGCUUUAUCCGGAUUUAUUGGGUUUAAGGGGUGCGCAGGCGGUCUGUUAAGUCAGCGGUCAAAGCCCGGGGCUCAACCGCGGCCCGACGUUGAAACUGGCAGUUUCGAGUUGGAGAGAGGUAUGCGGAAUGCGCGGUGUAGCGGUGAAAUGCAUAGAUAUCGCGCAGAACUCCGAUUGCGAAGGCAGCAUGCCGGCUCCACACUGACGCUGAGGCACGAAAGCGUGGGUAUCGAACAGGAUUAGAUACCCGAGUAGUC
RNAcentral lists this ribosomal RNA (459 nucleotides) under uncultured bacterium. Its description in RNAcentral is "partial 16S ribosomal RNA". It matches the Rfam family "Bacterial small subunit ribosomal RNA", at positions 338 to 795 of the family's 1533-position model. The record is from RNAcentral.